AGUGAACGCUGGCGGCAGGCCUAACACAUGCAAGUCGAGCGGAUGAACAGUGCGUGCUCGUUGAUUCAGGUGCCGACUGGUGGGUGAGGCCUGGGAAUCUGGCUGUUUGUGGUUUCUAACGGCCGGAAGCGGGGGCUAAUACGGCAUACGUGCUGAGGGAGUAAGGGGGGGAGCUUCGGACCUCACGCUAUCGGAUGAGCCUAUGUCGGAUUAGCUAGUUGGUGGGGUAAAGGCCUACCAAGGCGACGAUCCGUAACUGGUCUGAGAGGAUGAUCAGUCACACUGGAACUGAGACACGGUCCAGACUCCUACGGGAGGCAGCAGUGGGGAAUAUUGGACAAUGGGCGCAAGCCUGAUCCAGCCAUGCCGCGUGUGUGAAGAAGGUCUUCGGAUUGUAAAGCACUUUAAGUUGGGAGGAAGGGCAGUAAGUUAAUACCUCGCUGUUUUGACGUUACCCACAGAAUAAGCACCGGCUAACUUCGUG
RNAcentral lists this ribosomal RNA (484 nucleotides) under uncultured bacterium. Its description in RNAcentral is "partial 16S ribosomal RNA". It matches the Rfam family "Bacterial small subunit ribosomal RNA", at positions 29 to 507 of the family's 1533-position model. The record is from RNAcentral.